AAAGAAUGAUAUGUUCUGGGUCAGACACGGGCCUUCAAGUGUCUGAAGACCAUUUUCACACCACAGCUGUGAGCUCUCUCUUCUGGCUAGAUGGCCCUAAUUCCUUCGUCCGCUCCUCAGCUGACACAUUUCAGACAGUCCACUUGCCACUUCUGUUACCUCUGGAGCCUGAUGGAGACCUUCUAAGGUUGUGGCACCCAGAACGAUGGAUUCUGUACGAGAGAAGAGCAAGCACAAGUUUUAGAACCAAGUGGAUCUGGAUUCAAAUCCUGGAGCUGACUGUGUGACCUUGGACAAAUUGGCCCUGAGAUAACAUCUGUGCCAGUCUUCCUCUAUUUUGUAUGUGGGACGCCUCUGCAGCAUGGCUUGAUGAGCAGUGCAGAGGUCCACGCCCGGCUGGGAUCUGAACCGUGAACCCCAGAUCACUGAAGUGGAGCAAGCGAACUUACCCAUUACACCACCAGGCUAGCCUCGUUACAGCAGUCACUUCCAGGGGACAGGGAUGUUUUGGAAGAAAGCGCUCAAGGAGCCCUCUGGUGGACAUUCUAGGAAAAAAAGAGUUGGAGACACGAACUGGCUGUUACAACUCCCUAUUUUUAUUUUUAUAAAUUCCCUUUUUAAGGAGUUCAUCCGUGUCUGAAUAUCCUGGGAUAGUAAAGCGGGUGACCACCUUCUCGCUGUGUGCUCACAUGACCUCUCUGUGCUCUGGAAGAGAGAGAGCAAGCUCUCUGGGAUCUCUUCUCAUAAGGACGCUAAUGCUAUCGGGUCAGAUUCUCACCUUUACAGCCUCAUUUAACCUUAAUUACUUCUGUAAAGGCCCUAUCUCCAAAUACCAUACAAUGGGGGUUAGAGCUUCACCUAUGGAUUGGGGGUGGAGGGGGGGACCACAAACGUUCAGUCCAUCGCAGUUAUCGUCUCCGUCUUACAGACGAGGAAAAUAGAGCCCUGGACACACACAUUGGCAAACAAAAUAGAAGCCACCUCCACCCUUCUGAGCUUACAGUCUGGCAGGAGAGACUGAUAUUAAAUUACAAAAUUUGAUCAUCACCGUGGAGAAAAAGCAGAGAGAGUUCAGCAAGGGUAGAGCAGUGGAAUCCAGUCUAGAUUAAGGAGUCAGAGAGAGGGACUUUCCUCAGGAAGCGCGGGGCGAGCAGAGAAGGGUGUAGAGUGGAAAACCCGGAGGCAGACAGAAGCAAGGUACAUUCUAGAAACUGAAGAAGUGUGGAUAUCAUGCAGCAAGCCACAAGGGGAUGGUGACAGAGGGGGCUGGGGAGACGAGCUGGAGUCAGACCCCACAGGAGUGAGAGGUUCGACUUGGUCCCUAAGGCAAUGGGGAGCCACUGAAGGCUUUAAGGGGAGGAUACCAUGGUCAGACUUACACCUCUUUGGAGGGGAAUCUGGGUGAGAUGAGGGCGGAGUGGUGGGAGGGAAGAUCUCUUCUCCAGGGCUCCUUUCAGUGGGCACCCUGCCCUCCAGUCUGCCCCACCCUCUGCCCCCACGACGCAUAAACAUCUUGGCUCAAUUCACACAAAACUUUUCAGGAGGACAUCAAUUUUCGAAGAGUUAGGGCAGUCGCCUCUAGAGGCAAUCAUAGACAGAAGGGAAGGAGGAAAAGGCAGCAGGGACAUCUGAGUACCUACCAUGUGCUACUUCAUUUAUUCCAUUCAUUCAUUCAUUCAUUCAGGGGAGCCCCAUGAGGUGUGUGUCAGAGACAAAGCCGGGGGCUCACGGAACCCAUUUCCUCUUCCUGAGUGCUGGCACUACAUUUCCCAGACCCCUUGCAGCUAGGACGUGAGCAAUAGGCCAUGAGCAGAAGUGACGCACCCCCUCUACCAGGCCUGGCCAUAAAGCAUCCUGUCCAAUCUAUUAUGCUCUCUCUCCUGUCCUCGUGGAAGGGAGCAAAGAAGUUUAAGAGGAUGGAGGCUUGUGAUGAAAAGGGACCCAAUCCUCGAGUCCAUCAGUUGGAAGACACCUGCCCAGGAACAUCUGCAUCAGACAUGGCAUGAGAGAGAAAUACACCUUUGUUGCAUUAAG
This is a long non-coding RNA of Equus asinus (donkey), 2034 nucleotides long. The record is from Ensembl. Lineage: Eukaryota; Metazoa; Chordata; Mammalia; Perissodactyla; Equidae.